RNAcentral lists this microRNA (22 nucleotides) under Sarcophilus harrisii (Tasmanian devil). RNAcentral's name for it is "Sha-Mir-12366-v2_5p* (star (passenger))". Lineage: Eukaryota; Metazoa; Chordata; Mammalia; Dasyuromorphia; Dasyuridae. The record is from RNAcentral. RNAcentral also lists the same sequence under 2 other names.
CCAGCUCUGACAUUCUAUGAUC